UAUAUAUUCCACACUGUAUUUACACUUUACUGUGUGCUAUGAACGAGACUAUCAAAAAACGAUUUUUUAUUUUUAUUCAAUUAUUUAUUUAUCUUUUUAUUUUACCUACUUAUUUAUCUUUAUUUUUUUAUUUUUUUUGGUUUCUGUUUAAUUUAUGCCUUACCUAUUAUUAUUAUUAUUAUUAUUAUUAUUAUUAUUAUUAUUAUUAUUANNNNNNNNNNAUUAUUAUUAUUAUUAUUAUUAUUAUUAUUAUUAUUAUUAUUAUUAUCUUUUCAUAAACUUGUGUGCAUACAGUUUUUAAAAGGAAGCAAUUUUCACAUGUUUAUUAAAAUUUUUAAAGAUAGUUCAUUUUUUUUUUCUUCCUUUUUUUAACAUUAUAAUUCAAAAAAAGUUAAAGUAAAAUAAAUAACCAAAUAUAUAAAUAAUUAAUGAAAUAUAUGUAUAAGUUACUUUAAUAUAAACUUUUUUAUAUCUGCAACAUAACAUACCCUUUUUAAGAAAUUGUAAAAACACACAUUUCAAAUGAUAAAUGCACGUUAUAUAUUUGUAACCAAAUAACAUGUGUGAUUUAACAAAUUUUUAUUUUUUAAGAAUCGACAAAACGAAAAAAAGAAAAUUUUUUUUAAUUGCUCACAACGAAAUGGGAGGGUGUUUUAAAAGUUAAAAAAAAAUAAUUAACAAAUCAUUAACAAAUCAUUAACAAAUCAUUAAUAAACGAAUGGACAAACAAAUGAACAAACAAAUGAAUGAACAAACAAAUGAAUGAACAAAUGAAUGAACAAGCAAACAAAAAAACAAACGAAUGAAUGAAUAAUUUGCAUUAAAAUGCGACAUUGAAUUUUAUAUAAUUUUUUUUUCGAUGUUAUUUAUUUAUGCUUUAUCCUUAUAAUUGUAUUUUUGUUACUAAAUAUUUUUAUUAUUUUUAUUAUUUGUAUAAAAAAAAUCAAAAUGAAUUGUUCAAUCACAAUAUUUUAAAAAAAUGUUCAAUUUUAAUAAAUGUUUAUAACUACCUUUAACCAUCAUAAAAAAUAUAAAAAAUAUAUACCUUUUUUUUUUUUUUUUUUUUACUUUUUCAUCUUAAUUAUUAUUAUAAUUGCCAUAAUAUAUAUAUAUAUAUAUAUAUACCUUUUAUCUUUCCAAAUAAUCUCCGAACGUAUUAAACUUUCUUUGAAAAAAAUUAAAAAGGAAAAAAAGCUCUUUUUUCUAUUGAUAAAAAAAAAAAAAAAAAAAAAAAAAAAAAAAAAAAAAAAAAAAAAAAAAAAAAAAAAAAUUAAAAAAAAAUAAAAAAAAAAAAUAAAUAAAAAAAAAAAAUAAAAUAAAAUAAAAUA
Molecule: long non-coding RNA, 1328 nt
Filed under: Piliocolobus tephrosceles (Ugandan red Colobus)
Lineage: Eukaryota; Metazoa; Chordata; Mammalia; Primates; Cercopithecidae
Description: lncRNA (ENSPTEG00000007411.1)
Source: RNAcentral